CUACGGGCGGCUCCAGUAGGGAAUCUUAGGCAAUGGGGGAAACCCUGAUCUAGCCAUGCCGCGUGAGUGAUGAAGGCCUUAGGGUUGUAAAGCUCUUUCGCUGGGGAAGAUAAUGACGGUACCCAGUAAAGAAACCCCGGCUAACUCCGUGCCAGCAGCCGCGGUAAUACGGAGGGGGUUAGCGUUGUUCGGAAUUACUGGGCGUAAAGCGCGCGUAGGCGGGCUAUUAAGUCAGGGGUGAAAUCCCGGGGCUCAGCCCCGGAACUGCCUUUGAUACUGGUAGUCUUGAGUUCGAGAGAGGUGAGUGGAAUUCCGAGUGUAGAGGUGAAAUUCGUAGAUAUUCGGAGGAACAUCAGUGGCGAAGGCGACUCACUGGCUCGAUACUGACGCUGAGGUGCGAAAGUGUGGGGAGCAAACAGGAUUAGAUACCCCGGUAGUC
RNAcentral lists this ribosomal RNA (439 nucleotides) under uncultured bacterium. Its description in RNAcentral is "partial 16S ribosomal RNA". It matches the Rfam family "Bacterial small subunit ribosomal RNA", at positions 339 to 795 of the family's 1533-position model. The record is from RNAcentral.